AAGUAAUUACUGCAUGGUGUGUUUCCGACUAUUACCUCAACAGAUCAAUUGGAUGUGAAGAAUGGCUAAUCAGAGAAGACACAGAGGUAUUUUUGGAAUAUUGCUGGGAUUACAGGAUUAGAAAGCCUUGCAUAAAAAUGUGCAGAUACAGGUCUUCCAAGGUUAGAGUCCCAAUUGUGAAGGGAAAUUACGUACCCUCAUGUGCACAAUGUCCACAUGACGGUUUGAGUUUUAGAAUCUCUGAAGACAUGUAACUUCUCAAAGACUUCAUGACCGCUAGAGGAAGCCUACUGAGGAGUCAGCAUCAUUCUUAAAGAGCUCCAGAUGAAGUGUAGAUGAAAAAUAACAGACAGCACUAAUGCUCUGAAGGCAAAUCCCAGAGUUCUGUUUCAUUAAGAAAAAAACUUUUGCG
This is a long non-coding RNA of Stegostoma tigrinum, 412 nucleotides long. RefSeq lists it as uncharacterized. The record is from RefSeq and is a predicted model, not a curated record. The transcript is spliced from 3 exons. NCBI's taxonomy places the organism in Eukaryota, Metazoa, Chordata, Chondrichthyes, Orectolobiformes, Stegostomatidae.